This is a long non-coding RNA of Aedes albopictus (Asian tiger mosquito), 1805 nucleotides long. RefSeq lists it as uncharacterized. The transcript is spliced from 3 exons. The record is from RefSeq and is a predicted model, not a curated record. NCBI's taxonomy places the organism in Eukaryota, Metazoa, Arthropoda, Insecta, Diptera, Culicidae.
UUGUAACAAUAAAUGAUCGCGCUACAAAAAGAAGCCAACUGAUUUUGUCGCGCGACAUCAGACGUUGCGUUCCGUCGUGUCGCGCCAAGUGCAUUAUCGCGCAACGAAUACCCGAUGAAAUGAGGGUGCAAAUAUAUCCAUCUCACUUAUCACAAGUUUGGCAAACAAUAUUGAAUUGGACCUUUAGAAUUCGGUCCGCAAAAGGAGGUUUUGUAAUACUCCGAUCUUUGAACCUUAGUUCUUUCCAAAUUGGCUUUCGAGCAGAGUAGUUCAGUAGAAGAAAAAGUUGUGUAAAAGGCUGUUGUAAAGGGUUCUGUGAACCCAGACAAGGGAGAAGAAGAAUACCAACUUGCAAAAACUGCUCCAAAUAAGCAAUCAUAGCCAAGUUUGGCAAAGUAAAGUGUGAGGAGAUACAAGUGUUGAGAACAGGUCAAACCUUCGAACGAAGGUUUUUUUUGUGUAGUUCCAGAUUUUGGGCGUUUAAGGAGUUGGAAGUAUCCGAGGUGGGUUUAGAGCGCCUGUCGCGCCUCGCGCCGCGUGGUUCUAACCCGCGCUGCCCAACCUCGUCAGUGUCCGUAGGAGGUAAGCGUCACCAUCUCCGAGCUAUUGGACCCAAUCAAGUGUCAGACGAAGACGGCAGCCAUCGCGCUGCUGUGCCGGUCGUGCUCACCGACCACGUUCGCCGUAAGGAUCCCGAGUCACGAUCCUGAGUUAGUGGCAUCCGUCUACACUAAGAUUGUCUGUGCAUGUUCAUCAGUCCGUAGGGGCACCACGCUAACUGCCCUGAGUAAGUGGACGCAACCGUUCGCAUCGACCAAGCAUCUUUCGUCGUUGACCGAGCUCACCGGUCGGCGGUGGUCCGUAGGGGUGCAUAGUACCGCGCUCUGAGCUAGUGGACCAGCCCGAACGGUUGUCAUCGUUCAGCUCGACUUGGAGUCGAGCAUCCUCGCUGAACCAACUCGCUUCCAUCUGUCAAGCAUUCCUUCCAAGCCUGAGAUCUGCAACCAAGCCUGUAACCGCAAGCAAAGUGCAACUGGAGAAACAAUUCCCUCGGCGGUGUUGGACGAUUCCGAACUCGCAACCGCGGCACACAAGCUAAGUCUGCGUUCCGGCGCGGACACCCGCCACUGGCACGGCCACGCUGGGGGUAGUUCUUCCAACCGCCUGCCGUUCCUCUUCAUCGGAUCGCCACGCCUACCGACUGCACUCCGUGCGGCAAGGAUUGUCGCGUCGCCAGAUCAUCAUGUCGUCAGCAUAACACAGGUUAGACCUUUUUCUUGUUCUCGUACACACUCUAAAAAACAUCCAAACAAAAUCCAAAUGAUUACAUGAAUACAAACCAUUGUUAAACAUGCAUAAAUAUUAUUUUGAUUCAGUCAGUGAGCAAAUAUGACUUAAUGUGAGCGAAGCUCAAUUUGGUAAGUUCAGCUUGGGUUACGGUUUCGUAUGUUUUCGCCAUAAUUGAGGUUUGGUUGAGUUCAGCAUUGUUUAUCUACUUUGGUAUAUGAGUUUGGAUCGCGUCCGCCUUACCUGCCCUGAGACAGCUAACCGGGCAACAGAACGUGUGACUUCGUAACAGUUCCUUCAGAACUGUUGGCGCAUAAACGGAGUCAUUAUUAACAGCAGAAAGGCUGAGGAUUGUGACAGUUGGCUACUUUUAGUAGGUUGGUCAGUUUUAAGUUUCGUGGUCCACUGUUACCUUCCUAGUGUACACUUCACGUUACAUAUUGGCGCCCAACUCCCAAGGCUCAUUUGCAUUCGCUUAAAAUUUAUAGAAAUACUGAAUGGGUUAAGAUUGAAUUAGU